This 610-nucleotide ribosomal RNA is filed under the name Clava multicornis (club hydroid). RNAcentral's name for it is "partial 16S ribosomal RNA". It matches the Rfam family "Bacterial large subunit ribosomal RNA", at positions 1810 to 2604 of the family's 2925-position model. The record is from RNAcentral. Lineage: Eukaryota; Metazoa; Cnidaria; Hydrozoa; Anthoathecata; Hydractiniidae.
AAAACAUAGCCCUUGAAAAAAUCAAAGGUGUAACCUGCCCAAUGAUUUUAAAUUUCAUAAGAAUAAUCUUUUAUAAUAAAAUUUAAAGGACGCAGUAACCUGACUGUGGUAAUGUAGCAUAAUCAUUCGCCAUUUAAUUAAUGGAUAGUAUGAAUGGUUGAACGAAUUCUUCACUGUCUUAAAAAGAGAAAUCAUGAAAUUAAAAUAAUAGUUAAGAUGCUAUUUACUAUUGUAAGACGAAAAGACCCUAUAGAGCUUAACUACAAAUUUUUUAAUAAAAAGAAAUUUUUAAAAUUCUAAAACAAAAAGUUGGGUAGUUUAGUUGGGGCGACUAUCUUCUAAAAUUAACGAAGACAAGCAACAUUAAUAAUUAAUUUAUUGUAUAAUCCAUAAAUUUAACAAUUACAAAAGUAGGCUAUAAUGACCCGUUAUAAUCUAAUAAUAGAAAUAACGAUCAAUAAAUAAAAGCUACCUUAGGGAUAACAGGAUAAUUUUGUUCUAGAGAUCUUAUCGAAAACAAAGUUUGUCACCUCUAUGUUGAAUUAAGAUAUCCUGAUAGUGCAGAAGCUAUCAAAGGUAGGUCUGUUCGACCUUUAAAAUCUUACAUGAU